ACUGUUUCCUCAUCUCCUACCUGUGUGUCAGUUAUUACUGUCCCUUCAUAUCCCCCCAUGUCAGCAGGGCUGGUGCAAGGAUUUUUGCCACCCAAGGCAAAAGCUAAUUUUGCCACCACCUUGACUCUGCCCAUUGGCCCACCCUUUGACAUGCCCCAAUUUAAUACUGGGUGACACCUUGUAACAAGCCCCCUUCUCAUGUAAUUAGUCUACUACUGGGGUGACACACUGAAACAAACCUCCUUCUCAUGCUGCUGGAUAACCAAGUGGUUCAGAUGCUGGUUGUCUAACUUUCUUGUGGCAGGCAGAGCGGCGCCCCCUAUCAAGAGGGCGCUCUAUGCGGCUGCCUAUUUUGCCUAUAGGCAGAGACGGCCCUGUGUGUCAAUUAUUACUGUCCCUUCAUAUCCCCCCUGUAUGUCAUCUAUUACUGUUCCCUCAUAUUUCCCUGUGUGUCACAGCCAUCAGUGUCCCUUCAUCUCUCCCUGUGUGUCACAGUUAAUAAUUUCUCCUCAUCUCUCCCUUUGUGUCACAGUCAUUACUGUCCCCUCAUCUUCCCCGUCUGUCAGUUAUUAAUGCCCCCUCAUCUUCCUGCUGUGUGUCAGUUAUUAAUGUCCUCAAAGCUGCUGACUGGCUGCAGCAGUCACCUGAUGUAUGCAGCUUCUGUAACACAGCAGGCUGAACGGAGGAUCAGCGCAGGAAUGGAGGCAGAGAACUCAGCUAAUUGCUGACUGCAGCAUCGGGUAGAAGAUCGGGAGAUCGCUGAGGCUGGCGAUUAGUUGACCGCAGUGGGAUGUACCGGGUCCCAAAAGCAGGAAGAAGACCGGGGCUGGAGGACGGGAGAGCAAUACAAGUAGCACUAAGGAAGCGACGGUAUUCUUCUCAUGUGCCAAGAAAUACAUGUUGAAGUUAUUUAAUCAUUCUACAAAAUAUUGUCUCUGGAGAAUAUGUGAUCAGUCUAGAACGGUAUCCUCAAGUGCCCCUAACAACAGGGAAUAUAAGUACACAGGACUGUUUUCACAAGACUUCUUAAGCAACAUAAUAAAUGUUUAAAAAUU
This is a long non-coding RNA of Hyla sarda, 1055 nucleotides long. RefSeq lists it as uncharacterized. The record is from RefSeq and is a predicted model, not a curated record. NCBI's taxonomy places the organism in Eukaryota, Metazoa, Chordata, Amphibia, Anura, Hylidae. The transcript has 3 exons.